Molecule: ribosomal RNA, 497 nt
Filed under: uncultured bacterium
Lineage: Bacteria
Description: partial 16S ribosomal RNA
Rfam family: Bacterial small subunit ribosomal RNA
Source: RNAcentral
GACGAACGCUGGCGGCGUGCCUAAUACAUGCAAGUUGAGCGAUGAAGAUUGGUGCUUGCACCAAUUUGAAGAGCAGCGAACGGGUGAGUAACGCGUGGGGAAUCUGCCUUUGAGCGGGGGACAACAUUUGGAAACGAAUGCUAAUACCGCAUAACAACUUUAAACAUAAGUUUUAAGUUUGAAAGAUGCAAUUGCAUCACUCAAAGAUGAUCCCGCGUUGUAUUAGCUAGUUGGUGAGGUAAAGGCUCACCAAGGCGAUGAUACAUAGCCGACCUGAGAGGGUGAUCGGCCACCUUGGGACUGGGACAAGGCCCAAACCCCUUCGGGAGGCAGCAGGAGGGAAUCUUCGGCAAUGGACGAAAGUCUGACCGAGCAACGCCGCGUGAGUGAAGAAGGGUUUCGGAUCGUAAAACUCUGUUGGUAGAGAAGAACGUUGGUGAGAGUGGAAAGCUCAUCAAGUGACGGUAACUACCCAGAAAGGGACGGCUAACUACGUG